This 350-nucleotide long non-coding RNA is filed under the name Nicotiana benthamiana. RNAcentral describes it as "long non-coding RNA (NBEN_LNC003352)". The record is from RNAcentral. Lineage: Eukaryota; Viridiplantae; Streptophyta; Magnoliopsida; Solanales; Solanaceae.
ACUCUAGGCGGCUAGGAAGGCUCGCUAGACCAGCAGCCAGACCAAGAAUGAAUGUGUAAUGAUGGUGAUUCCACACCAGGCUCAAUAAAAAAUUGAAUGUAGAAAGGGGAUCCUAAACAAAAAAGGAGUCCAUGACCCCUUUUUAGAGCGUAUAAGGGGAGGUCGAAUUCCAAACCUUUUCUCUCGAGUAUACCCAUUACCAAAAAAUAUACGUCACUUUGGGACACAUGCGCAUAGCCGCCGCGCGUGGCUAAAGGUCAACCAAAAAUCAAAAAAUAUACGUCACCUUGGGACACAUGCGUAUAGCCGCCGAGCGUGGCUAAAGGUCAACCAAAAAAAAGAGCUCAAAC